GUGCCAGCAGCCGCGGUAAUACGGAGGGUCCGAGCGUUAAUCGGAAUUACUGGGCGUAAAGCGUGCGCAGGCGGUCUGUUAAGUCAGAUGUGAAAGCCCCGGGCUCAACCUGGGAAUCGCAUUUGAAACUGGCAGACUCGAGUUUUGUAGAGGGGGGUAGAAUUUCAGGUGUAGCGGUGAAAUGCGUAGAGAUCUGAAGGAAUACCAGUGGCGAAGGCGGCCCCCUGGACAAAGACUGACGCUCAUGCACGAAAGCGUGGGGAGCAAACAGGAUUAGAUACCCCUGUAGUCCC
This 293-nucleotide ribosomal RNA is filed under the name uncultured bacterium. RNAcentral describes it as "partial 16S ribosomal RNA". It matches the Rfam family "Bacterial small subunit ribosomal RNA", at positions 505 to 797 of the family's 1533-position model. The record is from RNAcentral.